This 253-nucleotide ribosomal RNA is filed under the name uncultured bacterium. RNAcentral's name for it is "partial 16S ribosomal RNA". It matches the Rfam family "Bacterial small subunit ribosomal RNA", at positions 524 to 776 of the family's 1533-position model. The record is from RNAcentral.
GACGAACCGUGCGAACGUUGUUCGGAAUCACUGGGCUUAAAGGGCGCGUAGGCGGCUCGCGAGGUCGGGGGUGAAAUCCCACGGCUUAACCGUGGAAGGGCCUUCGAUACCGGCGGGCUCGAGGAAGGUAGGGGUGCGCGGAACUUCUGGUGGAGCGGUGAAAUGCGUUGAUAUCAGAAGGAACGCCGGCGGCGAAAGCGGCGCACUGGAUCUUUUCUGACGCUGAGGCGCGAAAGCCAGGGGAGCAAACGGG